GUCUAUGUAGUAUAUUAAAUACUUUGGUCUUGUAAACCAAUAAAGAGGAAUCAACUCUCCUCCAAAGACU
RNAcentral lists this transfer RNA (70 nucleotides) under Tylonycteris fulvida. RNAcentral describes it as "tRNA-Thr". It matches the Rfam family "tRNA". Rfam says of the family: Transfer RNA (tRNA) molecules are approximately 80 nucleotides in length. Their secondary structure includes four short double-helical elements and three loops (D, anti-codon, and T loops). Further hydrogen bonds mediate the characteristic L-shaped molecular structure. tRNAs have two regions of fundamental functional importance: the anti-codon, which is responsible for specific mRNA codon recognition, and the 3' end, to which the tRNAs corresponding amino acid is attached (by aminoacyl-tRNA synthetases). tRNAs cope with the degeneracy of the genetic code in two manners: having more than one tRNA (with a specific anti-codon) for a particular amino acid; and 'wobble' base-pairing, i.e. permitting non-standard base-pairing at the 3rd anti-codon position. The record is from RNAcentral. Lineage: Eukaryota; Metazoa; Chordata; Mammalia; Chiroptera; Vespertilionidae.